Hevea brasiliensis (rubber tree) is the source of this 4682-nucleotide RNA transcript. It is a transcript of the gene named pentatricopeptide repeat-containing protein At3g60050, with no coding region annotated. The transcript is spliced from 5 exons. The record is from RefSeq and is a predicted model, not a curated record. NCBI's taxonomy places the organism in Eukaryota, Viridiplantae, Streptophyta, Magnoliopsida, Malpighiales, Euphorbiaceae.
GCUUACAUACUUUCGUAUUAAAACCCUUACAGAAACACAAGCACUCAACUCCGGGCAUGACUUGAGGCAGCUUAAGAACGCUGGACACUGACAGACUUCCUUGUACCAGGUAACUCCUAAGUCUGCUUAUUUCUUAGAAGUUCUCUCUGGUCAAAUCGGUAAAAUUAACCAAGUAGCACGUCUAUUCAAUGAACAUUUCCGGUUCAAAUAAAGCGAAUUUGUGCAAUUGGGUUUUUCCAAUUUAAUGGGUAUCUUUCAAUUCGAUUUUAUAAGGUCUGUUGAGCUAUUUGCGUCUAAAAACGCCAAUCUGUUGGUGUUUUUAUUGGAUUUGUUCAGUACUUCUAGGUUACGGAGAUAAUGGGUCUAAUAGACUCGAACAAUGAACACUGUAGCUUUUUUUGGUGCAAGGAUGGUUCUCUAUAAGUUAUCGUUUAGCUCGUUCAUUUCGAGAAAAUUGUGUGACUAUAGUUUUGAUAGUGAUAGAAGUGAUAAUGGAUUUCAGUACGUUGAGGAACCCUUGAAGAGAGUGUGGGGAUAUUCAGAUUUUGAUUCUUCUGGAUAUGGAAGCCAUAAUGAGGAGCGAUUCUCCCUUAGGCAGCGUUUUUUUGAGAACGUGAGGAGCGAUGCAGCAAGAGUUCUUGAUAUUCUACGCCAAGAUGGCCUUGGCUUCGAUGCAAAAGCAGCUCUAAAUGAGUUGCAUAUAAAGGUAUCGGGGCUCCUUGUCAGGGAAGUCCUUGUGGGAAUUUUGAAGAACAUAAAUUAUGAGAAUAAGGAAAGGUCUGCUGUAUUAGGCUAUACUUUUUUCUUGUGGUCUGGUCAACAGGAAAAUUACAGGCAUACGGCAAAUACGUAUCAUUUGAUAAUGAAGAUAUUAGCAGAAUGUGAGGAGUUCAAGGCAAUGUGGAGAUUGCUUGAUGAGAUGGUUGAGAAUGGAUUCCCAACUACAGCACGGACAUUUAACAUAUUGAUCUGUACUUGUGGUGAGGCAGGAUUGGCUAGGAAAGUUGUGGAGAGGUUCAUUAAAUCAAAGAAAUUCAAUUAUAGGCCUUUCAAACAUUCUUACAACGCAAUCCUAUAUUCUCUUUUUGUGGUUCAUCACUACAAGUUGAUUGAGUGGGUACAUCAGCAAAUGCUAGUUGAGGGUCAUUCCCCAGAUAUUCUAACUUAUAAUAUUCUUAUGUAUGCAAAGUAUAGAUUGGGGAAGUUGGAUCAGUUUAAUAGAUUGCUUGAUGAAAUGGGCAGGAGUGGAUUUUCACCUGAUUUUCAUACUUAUAAUAUCCUUCUCCAUGUUCUUGGUAAAGGGGACAAGCCACUUGCUGCACUUAAUCUUCUGAAUCAUAUGAAGGAAAUCGGUUUUGAUCCCAGUGUUCUUCACUUCACUACUUUGAUUGAUGGAUUGAGCCGAGCUGGGAAUUUAGAAGCCUGCAAGUACUUCUUUGAUGAAAUGAUAAAAAAUGGAUGCAUGCCCGAUGUUGUUUGUUACACUGUGAUGAUCACUGGAUGCAUAGUGGGUGGUGCGCUUGAAAAGGCUCUGGCAUUGUUUGAUGAGAUGAUAGCAAUGGGCCAGUUACCAAACGUAUUUACCUAUAAUUCUGUGAUACGGGGGUUUUGUAUGGCAGGGAGGUUUGAGGAGGCCUGCUCCAUGCUCAAGGAAAUGGAAUCUAGAGGAUGUAAUCCUAAUUUUCUUGUGUACAGUACCCUAGUGAGCAAUUUGCGAAAUGCUGGAAAGCUUUCUGAAGCUCGUAAAGUAAUAAGACAGAUGAUAGAGAAAGGGCAUAAUGUCCAUCUAGUCUCAAAGUUCAAGGGAUAUAGGAGAUGAUGAAGUAAUAGACCGUCUACAAUGGAGAAUUUUAAUCUGUAACUUCGUCUACAAUGGAGAAUUUUAAUCUGUAACUUCACUGGUAUAAUACUCAUAGGUGGUUGACAUCUUGUACCUGCUGCCUUUAAUAGAUGUCCUGGAAAUUGAAAGGCUUCUUGCUUUUCUCCAGCAGCAAUUAGAGGUUUUUCAUUCUUCAACUUCAUGCCCAAUUCUUAGUGAGUGAUGGGAUUCUGUUCACUAGAUUAUGCUUACUUUUCCUUUCCUUUUUGGGCAUGGAGCCUACAUGCUUAGAAGAUUCAAGAACUGCAAGGGAAAAGUUCAACCGAAUGUUUAAGGAUGUGUUUUGCCAUUCCAUCAAUUUGAUAUCUCCCCUCUAACAGGAGCAAAAGUGCGCUGUUUGGUCGAUCUAUAGCAUGUGUCUCCUUUUAUCGCUGCUUGGCUGUCUAAGCAGGGCUAAGGAAUGGAAGAAAAAGUGACAAUAGAAAAGUUUGUGGUUGCGCCCUUGGAGGCAAGGUGCAGCAAUGUAUGGAUUAAGGGUUGCAAUGUCAUUGUAAUAAUAGCUGUUUCAGCAUUGGUUUUGCAGUUGCUAUUUGUCAGAGAGAUGGAAUGAGGAUGCACUAAAUGCCAAAUGGUGAUGAUGUUGGCACUGAGAACAGAGGCAUAGUGAAACUAAUUUAGAGAUCUUCGGUUCCUUUUCAUCUGAAGUCUGAACCACUUUGAAGGAAUUGCAUAGUGAAAAAGACUUUAGGCUUACGUAGAAGGUAGAAACUGAGAGCUUCUUGAUGGACAUCAAAGCUGAGGUUGUAAGCUUGUCCAGUUUAUGGUUUUGUUCUCGUAACCUUAAUAAAGUCUCUUAGAAGUCAGCAAACAUAUGCAGAUGGAUGCUCGUGGGAUUAGCAUCCCACUGUUUUUCUUUUCCUUUUCCACCAUGAUACUUUCUGCUGCUGUAAUUCUCUAUGGUGCUGUGUUGUGAUGUCAUUCUUUCCAAAGUCCAGCACUAUGAGCAUAGUUUCUGAGAACAGACUCACUAUCAGUGUUCAGGUUUUGCCAGCAUCAUCCAUAUGUAGCAAUGAGCAGCCCUACUUCAAUCUGUCUUUCACUUUGACCCUAAGUCCUUCAUCAACUUAUUCUUUUAUUAUGCAACAAGCUGUACACAAUGAAGACUUCCAGAAUCCAGAAUGACACCUUGAAUUUAAUUUUCAACAACUUUUCUGAUCUGUUGAGAAGCAGGAGAUUUUAUGUAUUGGAGAUCUGGCCCUAGUUAGAGGAGAAUGCUCAAGAUAUUGGUAAAACUUUAUUUACUGAAUACAACAUAAUACUUCUGAAGUGCGACGCUAAAUAUUCAAGUAGUACAUGCUUGACUUCAUUGUCCCCUAUUACUAAUAUCUGGUGCAGUCUUGAUAUCUUUUGCAUUUGUGAAACUAACAGACUAACCGACAGGCUUCAUAUGAUUGUAAACACCCUAUAGAGCUUAUCAAGUAACAUCACUUUGCAAAUUUAUCACCAUUAAGUGCAGCCUAAUAGAUAUGGCGAAGUGGAUAGUUCUAUGAUCUGCAAUUUGCUUGGCUUUGUCGGCCAUGAUUGCUCCAGGUAUUGGUAUUUGAUGAAUUUGUCAUUUUGUUUGGGGGAAUGGAAAUCCAAGGUCAGCAUGCUUUUCAUAAAGCUCACUGGCCAAGAGUUUGAAAAUGGGGGUUGCCAAUGCCGUGUCCAUGCUAGCCAUUAUCGUGAACUCCCAGCCAAGCAUUCUACUACCAUUCGAUGGCUUCUUUUCAAUUGUCAUGCUUAAUGGCCCACUACAUAUAAAGUUUUAGCCUAACAAAGACAAAUGCAAAUUCCUUUCUCUGCCCUUUUCAUAUUGAAAAUGGUUCUCCUUUCCUCGCUCUUGAUUUGAAUUGGAGAAGAGUUUAAUUCACUCCAUUUUUUAAAGUAUAUAAUAUUAUAUUAGCAUUUGGUCAUUAUAUUUAUUAAGAUGUUGAAUUUAUUCGUAUUAAAUAUGAUGUUUCACUGAAUGUUUAAGCAAUUGAGGUGAAUUUAUACAUUUUUUCUAGAUUUGGUCAAUCGACCAAUAAAUGUUGAAGUCAUGUUCAGUUUCAAUUUUAAUCAAAUUUGAUGAGUAUUAUUUUCUUUAAAUGAUUUUAACUUGUAAUCACAUCGAUUAGUUUCAAUAUAGUUCAAAAUUGAUUAAUUUUAGUUUAAUUUUAAUUUUGAUUUUGGAUAUACUGUGACCUGGAAUAUGCUGAAACUUCAGAAAUUAAUUAGGGCGAAUAGACUGGUGAUUUGUGAAUCUAAUGACUAACCAAAAAGCAGUAAAAUAUUAAAAUCAUCAUCACUAUUCACUUGUCAGAGCUAAGAUAUCUGGAAUUUUGAGUUGGUAAAGAUCUAGGAACAGCCUCCCGUUGGGUGGAUGGCUAUUGCAUGAGGCGACAUCUGCCUAAUUUGUUGCUUUCAAAUUGUACUAACUAGGAAAAAAAAAAAAAAGGAUGACGAAUAGCUUAUUAGAAUAUUGAUUGUGGUUUAAGUGACCUGACCUGAAAGAAGCUUCAGGAUAACAAGUGACGCAAUUGCUUAUUUCCUUUCUGGUGAGGAAUUCGUCGGUGCAUGCAGAAUUUUGUGUGCUUUCGUUUAGAAAGGACAGUGACCCCUUAACUAAUAGGAAUGGGAAACCCCUUAACUCUCUUUUCUAACCCCAUUUUUCAUUCGUUUUGUUACAUUUCUGCAAGACCCUCAAUGAAUUCUUUACAGUCAAUUCUAACCAAUUUAAAACGGACAAAAGGCCAAUUACAUUUCUUAGUUACAUUGCUGACAUUUUAAAAUUGAAAUUACAUUUGCUAGUUUAUUGCCAAAAAAAAAAAAAAAGUGAAAA